GCUUUUGCGCCAACGUAGUUUCCCUAAUUCAACAUCGAGGUCGUAAACUCUUCUUUUGAUUAGGGCUCUAAGAAAAAUUACGCUGUUACCCCUAAAGUAAUUAGAUCUUCAAUCUUUAACGGGUCAGAAAAUUCACAUAUUACUGUUGAAGUGAAAAUARGUASUAUAUUUUARCCGUCCCAGCGAAACCUCCAMUAAGUUUAAUAACUAAUURGGUGUAAUGAGGUAAAAUUUUAUAGGGUCUUAUCGUCUAYUAAGYAUAUCUAGGAAUUUUAACCUAAAUCUAAAUUUUUAAAGCCCAAGGAAAAGAGAGUUKUGCGUCRGCCCAUUCAUUCAAGUCCCCAAUUAAAGGACAAA
RNAcentral lists this ribosomal RNA (357 nucleotides) under Leucon pallidus. RNAcentral describes it as "partial large subunit ribosomal RNA". Lineage: Eukaryota; Metazoa; Arthropoda; Malacostraca; Cumacea; Leuconidae. The record is from RNAcentral.